Molecule: long non-coding RNA, 976 nt
Organism: Nycticebus coucang (slow loris)
Lineage: Eukaryota; Metazoa; Chordata; Mammalia; Primates; Lorisidae
Exons: 3
Source: RefSeq, a predicted model, not a curated record
GGGUGGCUGGGCUGCCCGCCUCCUCCUCGUCCUCCCCUGGGCCUGGAUGAGAUCACCGUGUCGGGCCGCCGGCUGUCCCUGCGCUUCCAACAAAUCGACUCCUCGGCGAGCGUCGGCAUCUCAUGAUCUCAUGGCCCCGCGGGACGGCGCCGGCCGAUGAGGUCACAUCCCCGCGCCCCGGGCUGCCCCGCUCUGCACGCCGCCGCCUCCCGGUCAGGUCUCCUGGCGCCCUGCGCCAGUACCGAGCCUCCUAACCGAAGGCUUUUCGACCUCCGCGGACAAAGAAGGUCGCAGCUUGCGAAAGGCACAACUGCCUUUUCCAUUCUUGUGACGCGUCUUCGCGCGCCCACUGCUCGUUCUCUUGUUUGAACAUUUCACCCCUAAGGCCACGUGUCCAGCAGGAGGGACCGCACCAGCGCCCCCAGACUUGAGGUCAAGAGCUAUGCGGACUUGCCCGCAUGAUUUCACAGCCGCUGCGUUAAGAAAGUUCUACAGCUAGCCUUGUCUUACAGAAGAGGGAACCGCCCCAGGUUACUCGUCUAGUGAAGGGUGGCACAGGGACUGGAACCGAGGGCUCCUCCUUGAUGUGGUGAUGUCAUCUGCAUAGAGAUGAGGCCACCGAGCUCAAUACUGCAACCUCACUCCCCUGAGGAUCCACAGCUAGUGGCAAAACCAGGAUUUGAACCCAGGCCACCCCAAGACUGGGUCUGGGGCUGACGCACAGAUGAGGAAACUGAAGCUCAGAGAAGAGAGGCCAGAGCCGAUGCUGAUGGAAAUGGCAGAACCAGGAUUCAAUCUCAGAUCCACCUGGCUCCAGAGUGCAAGCUCUUUCCAAUCCACUCCUUUUUAGAAAAGCUGAGAGUUAGGGUGGCGCCUGUGGCUCAAAGGGGUAGGGCACCGGUGCCAUAUGCCAGAGGUGGCAGGUUCAAACCCAGCCCUGGCCAAAAACCACAAAAAAAUAAAUAAAAAUAAAGAA